AUACGGAGGACGCGAGCGUUAUCCGGAUUCAUUGGGUUUAAAGGGUGCGCAGGCGGCCGUGCAAGUCAGCGGUGAAAGCCCGGGGCUCAACCCCGGAAGUGCCGUUGAUACUGCGUGGCUGGAAUGCGGUCGAGGCGGGCGGAACGUGGCGUGUAGCGGGGAAAAGCGUAGAUAUGCCACAGAACGCCGAUAGCGGAGGCAGCUCGCAAGGCCUGCAUUGACGCUCGGGCACGAAAGCGUGGGGAUCGAACAGGAUUAGAUACCCUGGUAGUCCACGCCGUAAACGAUGGGCGCUCGUCGUCGGCGACAGACAGUCGGCGGCCAAGCGAAAGCGAUAAGCGCCCCACCUGGGGAGUACGGUCGCAAGGCUGAAACUCAAAUGAAUUGACGGGG
Molecule: ribosomal RNA, 393 nt
Filed under: uncultured bacterium
Lineage: Bacteria
Description: partial 16S ribosomal RNA
Rfam family: Bacterial small subunit ribosomal RNA
Source: RNAcentral